This 527-nucleotide ribosomal RNA is filed under the name uncultured organism. Its description in RNAcentral is "bacterial SSU rRNA". It matches the Rfam family "Bacterial small subunit ribosomal RNA", at positions 392 to 938 of the family's 1533-position model. The record is from RNAcentral.
CGACGCCGCGUGAGUGAAGAAGGCCUUCGGGUUGUAAAACUCUUUUGAGGGGGAAGAGCGAGGACGGUACCCCUGGAAUAAGCGUCGGCUAACUACGUGCCAGCAGCCGCGGUAAGACGUAGGACGCGAGCGUUAUCCGGAUUUACUGGGCGUAAAGCGUCUGUAGGCGGAUGUGUAAGUUGAGCGUGAAAGCUCCGGGCUUAACCCGGAGAGGCCGUUCAAUACUGCAUAACUUGAGGGUGUCAGAGGGGAGCGGAAUUCCCGGUGUAGCGGUAAAAUGCGCAGAGAUCGGGAGGAACACCAGUGGCGGAGGCGGUUCCCUGGGGCACACCUGACGCUGAGAGACGAAAGCUAGGGGAGCGAACAGGAUUAGAGACCCUGGUAGUCCUAGCCCUAAACGAUGAAUGCUAGGUGUGGGAUCGAAUGGUUCCGUGCCGGAGCGAACGCGAUAAGCAUUCCGCCUGGGGAGUACGGCCGCAAGGUUCAAACUCAAACGAAUUGACCGGGACCCGCACAAGCAGCGGAGC